Molecule: ribosomal RNA, 421 nt
Filed under: uncultured Lachnospiraceae bacterium
Lineage: Bacteria; Bacillati; Bacillota; Clostridia; Lachnospirales; Lachnospiraceae
Description: bacterial SSU rRNA
Rfam family: Bacterial small subunit ribosomal RNA
Source: RNAcentral
UGGGAAUAUUGCACAAUGGAGGAAACUCUGAUGCAGCGACGCCGCGUGAGUGAAGAAGUAAUUCGUUAUGUAAAGCUCUAUCAGCAGGGAAGAUAGUGACGGUACCUGAUGAAUAAGCUCCGGCUAACUACGUGCCAGCAGCCGCGGUAAUACGUAGGGAGCAAGCGUUAUCCGGAUUUACUGGGUGUAAAGGGCGUGUAGGCGGGACUGCAAGUCAGAUGUGAAAACUAUGGGCUUAACCCAUAGCCUGCAUUUGAAACUGUAGUUCUUGAGUGGUGGAGAGGCAAAUGGAAUUCCUAGUGUAGCGGUGAAAUGCGUAGAUAUUAGGAAGAACACCAGUGGCGAAGGCGAUUUGCUGGACACUAACUGACGCUGAGGCGCGAAAGCGUGGGGAGCAAACAGGAUUAGAUACCCUGGUAGU